AUCCCUUAGUAACGGCGAGUGAACAGGGAAAAGCCCAAAUUUGUAAUCUGGCACUUUUUACAAGUGUCCGAGUUGUAAUUUGUAGAGCUGUUAUCCGUACUGGACCAUGUACAAGUCUGUUGAAAAGCAGCAUCAUUGAAGGUGAAAAUCCUGUAGAUGAUAUGGACUACCAGUAUAUUUGUGAUACGGUUUCUAAGAGUCGAGUUGUUUGGGAAUGCAGCUCAAAGUGGGUGGUAAAUUCCAUCUAAGGCUAAAUAUAAGUGAGAGACCGAUAGCAAACAAGUACCGUGAGGGAAAGAUGAAAAGAACUUUGAAAAUAGAGUUAACAGUACGUGAAAUUGCUGAAAGGGAAACGUUUGAAGUUAGUUUUGUAUUCGUUGGAUCAGCUUCGCAAGGAGUGUAUUCUGAUGAUAAGCAAGUCAACAUCAGUCUAUGAGUGUUGGAUAAGGGUUUUGAGAAUGUAGCAAUUUAAUUGUGUUAUAGCUUGAGACUUGGAUACGAUGCUUUGGAUUGAGGAACGCGUAGUAAGCUUUGAGCGGAUUCGAAAGGAUCUCCUUACUAUGGAUGUUGGUGAAAUAACUUUAAGCGACCCGUCUUGAAA
RNAcentral lists this ribosomal RNA (601 nucleotides) under Melampsora sp. TSH-R951001. RNAcentral's name for it is "eukaryotic LSU rRNA". It matches the Rfam family "Eukaryotic large subunit ribosomal RNA", at positions 73 to 659 of the family's 3401-position model. Lineage: Eukaryota; Fungi; Basidiomycota; Pucciniomycetes; Pucciniales; Melampsoraceae. The record is from RNAcentral.